This 45-nucleotide ribosomal RNA is filed under the name Glomus mycorrhizal symbiont of Marchantia foliacea. RNAcentral describes it as "partial 28S ribosomal RNA". The record is from RNAcentral. Lineage: Eukaryota; Fungi; Glomeromycota; Glomeromycetes; Glomerales; Glomeraceae.
AACUGACCUCAGACAGGUAAGAACACCCGCUGAACUUAAGCAUAU